Molecule: ribosomal RNA, 416 nt
Filed under: uncultured bacterium
Lineage: Bacteria
Description: bacterial SSU rRNA
Rfam family: Bacterial small subunit ribosomal RNA
Source: RNAcentral
UGAGUAAUGUCUAUGAAUCUGCCUCAUAGUGGGGGACAACGUUUCGAAAGGAACUCUAAUACCCCACACAUCCUACGGGAGAAAGCAGGGGACCUUCGGGCCUUGCUCUAUCAGAUAAGCCUAAGUCGGAUUAUCUAUGUUGGUGGGGUAAUGGCUCACCAAGGCCACCAUCCCUAACUGGUCUGAGAGGAUGAUCAGUCACACUGGAACUGAGACACGGUCCAGACUCCUACGGGAGGCAGCAGUGGGGAAUAUUGGACAAUGGGCGAAAGCCUGAUCCAGCCAUCCCGCGUGUGUAAAGAAGGUCUUCGGAUUGUAAAUCACUUUAAGUUGGGAGGAAGGGCAGUAAGCGAAUACCUUGCUGUUUUGACGUUACCGACAGAAUAAGCACCGGCUAACUCUGUGCCAGCAGCCGC